This is a long non-coding RNA of Cucumis melo (muskmelon), 1022 nucleotides long. RefSeq lists it as uncharacterized. NCBI's taxonomy places the organism in Eukaryota, Viridiplantae, Streptophyta, Magnoliopsida, Cucurbitales, Cucurbitaceae. The transcript is spliced from 5 exons. The record is from RefSeq and is a predicted model, not a curated record.
UUCUUUUCUUCUUCUUCUUCUUCUCUUCCCUUCACCACCAAGAAUUUUGAAGACAUCCAACUUCCAUUUUUUUUCCUUCUUUAAUUUGCAGAGAACUUCUAAGAGAGAGUUUGGAAGAAGAAGAGGAGGAGAACUCAAGCAAAGUGUAUCCAUGGCUGAAUUUUAGUUCAUUCUACACAUCACUGGUUUUUAAUUCGGUUUGAACUCUUCAAAAGGAAUUAAGAGAAAAUAGGGCAGUUGGUUUUCACUCGAAAUCAGGAGGUCUCUGAUUUUUCUUGUAUUUCAGAGUGUAUCGGUUGAGUUAAAAUCUCUAUUUGUUAAAUUGUAGGGACAAGUUAAAGAGGUCAUGUGCGCACAAUUCUGGAAGUGGUUCUGUUUCGAGGGUUAUCUGAGUUUAUGCACGGGGAAUCAGAUUUACAUGUCUUCAGGCCGAGAAGAAUUAAACCAAGCUUAUAGACCAAGGAUAUAGCCCAAGACUGUAGAGAUCGAGUUCCCGGUGCCUGAUAAACUGUCUUAGUCUGCUGAAGCUCCGUUAUCGAUUGCCAGUACGUGUUUUGAGUUGGGCACAGAGUUUGUUGUGUUAUGAUGUAUAUACACCCUUGUAUGCUAUAGAUACUCCACAGUUUGUAUAAGGUUUAGGAGCUGUAGUUGUGUAAAUUUUGUUGGUUAUAUUUUGAUUAAGGUGUCUUUAGGUUUACUCGUGAAAUCAGUAAAUUUUAAGAUACACUUCAUGUAUGUGUUUGACUAGCUGUGUUUGACUAGCAUAGGAUCGCUGUGUUUUGUUGCAUGUAUAAUAGUUUAUAUACUAGAUUGGCAAGUUCAUCACAUGAAAGUUUUAAGCAGAGUCGACAGAUACAGGUACAGAAAAGCGUUGUUCGUCGGCUUCACGCCAUCUUUCGGUCUAAGGUAGCAGGUAGUCCGGGAGGGGGUGUGACACACUUGAUAGAUUUAUUACACUUAAUCACUUGCUAAACUUCGUUGAUACAUAUUAUUAGUUUGAAACACUUGAUAUGUUGUUGAUA